CACUCCUGCGGGAGGCAGCAGUGGGGAAUUUUGGACAAUGGGCGAAAGCCUGAUCCAGCAAUGCCGCGUGCAGGAUGAAGGCCUUCGGGUUGUAAACUGCUUUUGUACGGAACGAAAAAGCUCCUUCUAAUACAGGGGGCCCAUGACGGUACCGUAAGAAUAAGCACCGGCUAACUACGUGCCAGCAGCCGCGGUAAUACGUAGGGUGCGAGCGUUAAUCGGAAUUACUGGGCGUAAAGCGUGCGCAGGCGGUUAUGUAAGACAGAUGUGAAAUCCCCGGGCUCAACCUGGGAACUGCAUUUGUGACUGCAUGGCUAGAGUACGGUAGAGGGGGAUGGAAUUCCGCGUGUAGCAGUGAAAUGCGUAGAUAUGCGGAGGAACACCGAUGGCGAAGGCAAUCCCCUGGACCUGUACUGACGCUCAUGCACGAAAGCGUGGGGAGCAAACAGGAUUAGAUACCCCAGUAGUCCC
Molecule: ribosomal RNA, 471 nt
Filed under: uncultured organism
Description: partial 16S ribosomal RNA
Rfam family: Bacterial small subunit ribosomal RNA
Source: RNAcentral